Molecule: ribosomal RNA, 468 nt
Filed under: uncultured bacterium
Lineage: Bacteria
Description: partial 16S ribosomal RNA
Rfam family: Bacterial small subunit ribosomal RNA
Source: RNAcentral
GACGAACGCUGGCGGCGUGCUUAACACAUGCAAGUCGAACGGAAAGGCCCUGCUUUUGUGGGGUGCUCGAGUGGCGAACGGGUGAGUAACACGUGAGUAACCUGCCCUUGACUUUGGGAUAACUUCAGGAAACUGGGGCUAAUACCGGAUAGGAGCUCCUGCUGCAUGGUGGGGGUUGGAAAGUUUCGGCGGUUGGGGAUGGACUCGCGGCUUAUCAGCUUGUUGGUGGGGUAGUGGCUUACCAAGGCUUUGACGGGUAGCCGGCCUGAGAGGGUGACCGGCCACAUUGGGACUGAGAUACGGCCCAGACUCCUACGGGAGGCAGCAGUGGGGAAUAUUGCACAAUGGGCGGAAGCCUGAUGCAGCAACGCCGCGUGCGGGAUGACGGCCUUCGGGUUGUAAACCGCUUUCGCCUGUGACGAAGCGUGAGUGAUGGUAAUGGGUAAAGAAGCACCGGCUAACUACGCG